Molecule: ribosomal RNA, 484 nt
Filed under: uncultured bacterium
Lineage: Bacteria
Description: partial 16S ribosomal RNA
Rfam family: Bacterial small subunit ribosomal RNA
Source: RNAcentral
AUUGAACGCUGGCGGAAUGCUUUACACAUGCAAGUCGAACGGCAGCACGGGGGCAACCCUGGUGGCGAGUGGCGAACGGGUGAGUAAUACAUCGGAACGUGCCCGGUCGUGGGGGAUAACGUAGCGAAAGUUACGCUAAUACCGCAUACGAUCUGAGGAUGAAGGCGGGGGACCUUCGGGCCUCGCGCGAUCGGAGCGGCCGAUGUCAGAUUAGGUAGUUGGUGGGGUAAAGGCCUACCAAGCCGACGAUCUGUAGCUGGUCUGAGAGGACGACCAGCCACACUGGGACGGAGACACGGCCCAGACUCCUACGGGAGGCAGCAGUGGGGAAUUUUGGACAAUGGGCGCAAGCCUGAUCCAGCCAUUCCGCGUGCAGGACGAAGGCCUUCGGGUUGUAAACUGCUUUUGUAUGGAACGAAAAGGCUCUGGCUAAUACCUGGGGCUCAUGACGGUACCGUAAGAAUAAGCACCGGCUAACUACGUG